Non-coding RNA from Camelina sativa (false flax), 460 nucleotides. The record is from RefSeq and is a predicted model, not a curated record. NCBI's taxonomy places the organism in Eukaryota, Viridiplantae, Streptophyta, Magnoliopsida, Brassicales, Brassicaceae.
AGUCCUUGCUCCCCAGGCUUCUUGGUACAGCACGGUUUCACCGGAUACUCCUUCGGUCUUUCCUCCGGAUACUUCUCUGGUCUCUCCAUCGGAUACUUCUCCAAUUGCUCUCUGCCUGCGGUUGAGGUAGUCCCUGGUUGCUUCCAACCUAGAACUUUGGCUAGUUCGGUUGUCGUAUCAACGUAACAAUAUAUUUUUAUAUUGGUGACCAUUUAUUUACCAGAUUUUGGUUAUUUGUUGAAUUCGUUUUCUAUCUUGUGCUUGCUCAUGAUAGAUUGGUUCGACAUCUCUCCUGGUAUCCUAUCAAGCUUAGUCAAGCUUUUGUCUCUAUGUCUGAUUUAUGUUUGCGCUUUUGCUUACCUUCAACGCUUGCUAUUCGGGUUCUGUCCGGAUAAGCCUAAUUCCCCUUGUAUCUUUCUAAUUUGAAUGAAAUAUUUGGUGUUGGGUGACAAAAAAAAAA